CAUGGCAGCGCGCAGAGCAGCUGUAGAGCAGCGGCGUGUUCGUGUGGUGGACGUUUUUUUUUUCUGUUACACCGCAGCCGUCGCCGCUGCAUAGCGUAAUGGACGGUGCAGCAAAGUCCGGAGGUUACAGAAUUCAUUUGAAGAGCACACGAUGCUUACAUUUUGGCAGAAUAGCGAGCGGUAAGGCGGAUGCAACCGGGAUGCAGCGUUGAUCCAGGGGAAUCGAAAUUGUUUCGGCGUCGGCAUGUUUUCUUAAAGAAUUGCAGAGAUGAUCUGAAGUGUUUUAGCACGAAUGCUCAGCUUCAACAGCAGCAUCUUUCAACUGAGUGCUGGCAUUGAGUGCUUCACUUCAGAUGAAAAACUAAAGCCACAUCCCAGGGUCAGUGGCUUUCCCAGGAACGCCUAGGACGUAGGAAUGCAUACUUGUCAUCCUUCACGCUCACACAGCAUGGCUCCCAGAAAUGGAAAGUUCACAAAGCUGCUGAAGGGCCCUUUAAUGAAGAUUACAAACACUACAAUAUGGAAGAGGAAAGUAGCACUAUCAAAGCCAGCUGUUGCACAGCUACAGCACAGGUUUUGCUUGUCAAUCACUUGGUGGCUGAGUAAGCGCGGCAUUUCGCUGCUAAGCACACGUGCAGGGGUUCCAUUCCUGGCUAUGUUGGGCACAGUUGGACUGGGGGAACAAAAUUCUUGUAUUUCGAUACAGGUUUGCUUAUUCAAAAUUACAUGAGCUUUGCUCUUUUGCGUGCAUGCGCAGUCUCUACUGACUUGCUCAGCUUCUUUGACAUGUCUCUAGCAAAAAAUGCAUUCGUAGCAUUGUGUAUGUCCUAAGCACGGUUGCUGUAAAGUUGUCCUUGUGUUCUGCACACCCGAGUUUUGGAAACUUUGUUAACUCUAGAGCAUCGAGAAGUUCCCAAAAAAUGUCACUGCACAGUUGAAAGCGGUUAAGUGCGCUUGAGACAGUGCUUUCUAUGCUUCUCAGUGACAGGAACAUCUUCUCUGUGGGGUGCUUCAGGCUCAUUUCUUUAAAUGACCUAGCAAAUGUUACCCAUGCUGCCGGCAUAUGUGGAGCGUCAGUUUGAAUGUCAGCUAAGCAGUUUAAACAGCCUUUUUUCUUUGAGGUUUUGUGCACAAUGUAGCCAGCAAGAUAAUAUACUACACAGUCUUCUGCAGUUGCCUUGCUGUAUGGGUGGUCCUUGCUUGUGCUGGGAAGCGCAGCCAUUGUGCUCGUGUCUUGCAGAUCAAAGCAGAGCUCUUCAAGCUUUUUCUCUAAGCGUGCGUGGAGCUUUUCUUUGUGGCACUUAUUGUCUUUGACACCAGCCUCGAGCACACCUGAAAGAACUGGCAAGAUAUCCUCCUGGGCUUCUACAUUGCCUUUGAUUGCUGCUUUCAUUGGGGCAUAGAUGGUCAAGAGCCGAAAGAUGUAGGAGAAGUUCACUAUGGUGGGGUGAUCUUCAUGUCCUCCAAAUGAACGGAUGUUGCCGAAGAACCUCUGAAGUGAAAGAGCCAUUUGUACAAAUAUUGUAUAAAUCAAAGCACUUGUAAGCGUAUUGUUUACUUUAAUAUUUAAUUUGCACUUAUGCAAGGCUAAAAUUGGAAGUGAAAGCAUGACAAUAAAGUUGCUUGUGUAUAUACAGUCGCCGACCAUUUUUCAAACGUCCUAUUAUUUGGACCACCCUAAAUAUCUGGUCUCUGCCAUGUCACAGUUGCAUGCUCCAUAGAGUCAGUGUAUAACAUCAACCAAAAUUCUGGGUAUUUGAAACCCUUCUCAUUUGAUUUUCCUAACUUUUUCUUUUAAUCGUAAGCGUACAGCUACCAAAAACCACUGAAAACGCAAACAGCAUUGCUGCCAUUUUGUUUUUCUGUAGCCC
Molecule: long non-coding RNA, 1871 nt
Organism: Rhipicephalus sanguineus (brown dog tick)
Lineage: Eukaryota; Metazoa; Arthropoda; Arachnida; Ixodida; Ixodidae
Exons: 4
Source: RefSeq, a predicted model, not a curated record